UGAUGUCAUGAGUUUCUCUUCCGCUCGCCGAGAUUUUGCGGGGUCUGCGGUCUCCGGUAAAACCGCUCAACUGUCACAGUGACGGCACGAGAGUGAACACAGGCAACACGGGAACGCAAGCUGUGGCUACCUUCCAAUAAAAGUUUAUUUAAAGUAUCAGGAGGCCGCCCACUGGAGCCGGGAAAAGCCCCACCAGCCCGUCCCCAAAGAGGCCGUCUGUUUUCCUUGCUCCUCACCACAGAAAGAGAACACAAGCUGGGGGAGUGGGAGAGGGAGAAGCAGGCUCCCCUCUGAGCAGGGAACCCGAUGGGAUCAUGACCUGAGCCCAAGGCAGACACUUAACCGACUGAGCCACCCAGGCGCCCCAUCAGUCACAUUUAGGUUGACUCUGUGUCAGGAGGCGAGUAAGGAGGGCAGUCACGAAGCUCCCACAGAAGUCAUCCCACCCAGUGACCAUGAACACUUCGUCAAGCAGACAGUUGCUCAGCCCAGGAAAACACUCUGCCUGCCAUGUAGCCCCCACGGUGCCAAUAAACGCCACCCCACUGUAGCCGACAUUAGAACACCUAGUUGGAGAGAUGUUACACAUUUUUAACGGUGUUCUUAUCUGAUAAUGUCAACACAGAGCGGUAUUGAUUUUCUUUGGAUAAUUAGUUUAUUACCAUGACUAUUGCUCAGGACAAAGUAAACAGCAGGGAAAGAGCUGAUGAGCACGCUUCUUCUCAAGGAAAUGUUGGCCAGCCAGAAGAACUCUGGAUGAAUUCCUUGAGUAACUGGGAUAAUGCUUCCGCAUCCCUGAGAAACUGCCAGGAGAUGCCAGAUAUUCUAGGGAGAGUUUGGAAUCCUGACACAGACCACGAUGCUGGCCUCAUGGGCCCGUUACCAGGCUGCAAGUGGUGGUCAGUUUGAAUGCAGUGCCAAGCCAGCACCCCCAGGUCUUCUAAGAGCCCAUGCAGUCCCGCUCCUGCCAUCUGGGACACCCUCGUGUUUCCUGUUCAUUCGGUGGCCACUUCCCGAGUCCAUCUGCACCCCAGGACUGCGGUAGGCGUGGUGGAGAUGGCGGGUGCCCACACUCCCCUGGAGCAUGAAGUCUGAAGGGGAGACCAGGCUGCAGAUGCGCAUCCUGUGCCUGGGGUCGGGCUGCACUGGAGCUGAGACACGAGGCACAGGGAAGCGUGGAGGGAGCAGUGGGUCACACGUGGGAAGUCAGCUCCAUCCUACAGAACAGGUGACAUCAGACGUGAGUGUUGAAGGAUCCGUAGCAAUUUUUCCGUGAGAGAGGGAGGCAUCCCAAGCCAGGACACGGAGGCAGGGUCGGGAGCUGUCCGAGGCUGGGUGGUUGAUAUAUCGGGAAAGGGGGAGGAAAUGGUGGAGGAUCAGGGGUGGAAAUUAGCAGAAGCUAGAUCGUGGAGAUCCUUGUAUGUGGGAUGGCAAAAGCCCAGCGCUUUCCUGCUUUUCACACUGAAAAUUCUGUGCUCCGGAAAUGUGUGUUGGUUUGUCUGGAAGUGUCCUGGUUUUGAAACUGAGAGCCUCACAUCCUGGGAACCCCUUCCCCCUCAUUCCCCAGAGCAGAUGGUCAUCCUAUUUAUAUGUUAUGUGUAUUCAGUCAGCAGUACUUUGUAAGCACCUACUGUGUACUAGAAACUGUGCAUACGGGGGUAUUCUUGUUCUUCCAUGGCUGGUAUCUCAGCAGUGAAUAGGCACCUACAGACUUAAAAAAAGAAUUUAAUUAUUUAUAAAGGCACACAAUGUGUGUCUGAGAAACUGAAAGAAAUCCAGGGAGGGGGUGGGUAACGUGAGGUGAGGCAAGGGACAAAACAAGCAUUUACUGUAGUCAUGGCAAGGAUUUGGGCUUUUGUCCCCAGGGAAGUGGGUACAUAGGAGGAUUUAAUCUGCCUUGAGCAGGGGUGCAAUGUGGGCUGC
Molecule: long non-coding RNA, 1923 nt
Organism: Mirounga angustirostris (Northern elephant seal)
Lineage: Eukaryota; Metazoa; Chordata; Mammalia; Carnivora; Phocidae
Exons: 4
Source: RefSeq, a predicted model, not a curated record